Molecule: long non-coding RNA, 2051 nt
Organism: Nematostella vectensis (starlet sea anemone)
Lineage: Eukaryota; Metazoa; Cnidaria; Anthozoa; Actiniaria; Edwardsiidae
Exons: 2
Source: RefSeq, a predicted model, not a curated record
AUAUUGCGACCUCCAUACUUGGAUGCAUGAGACUAAGUGCUUUUCUUGAGUUGAUCUCGAGCUUUCCGCGAGUGCACCAUGCGUACCACCCCUGGGCGGCCAAGAAGCGGGUUAUUUCUUAUUGAGGGAUCGUUAAAUGCUAUCCUUUUCCUUAUGAUAACUAUGACUGCCUGAUAACCGCUAUUUACGCCAAAGCGUGGCCUGACGUGAAGUGGGUUGAUAGUCGAAAUGGAUAGUCGAAAACAAAACAUUUCCUACUAAAACUCCAAUGCGACAAGAACCACCUAGCAGUCAGCCUUCACUGGUUUGCUCAUGACGACAAACAAGCGCUAUUCAUUGCAAUUAGGGGAUUAUGUCAAGAAAACAUUAAAUAGUUAAAACAGUAAAAGGAAGAGAUUUAAGAUUUUUUCUUUAGAAAAUAUAAUUCAAGCAUUGUAUUUUAAUACUAGGAGUUGAAGUUUGCGUUACAAGAAUAUGAGUAGUUUUGCGUUAAAAAAAUGGUGACGGUUGUGUAUUUGAAGUGUCUAAAUACCCAAAUGCCGGGAAUGCGUGCCCAAAUACUUGAUACCCGGCAACUUUAAUGGUUAAAAAAAAUGGCCAUAUGAAUCAUAUUUAUCCAUUCAAAUCCAUGUGGUAUUGUUAAAAACUUGGAAGCGAUUCCGAUGCAAGAAGCGCUUGUUAUUCAGAGCGAUUCGCAAAGGCUAGACACACUAACCUCCGGGAGCGAUUGUCAAAACACUACAUACCCGACAGGUUUUGCAUUUCUUUUAAAAUCACCAAAGGAACAAUAUUUGAAAAUAUAUAAACAUGUACCAUUGCUUAGAAUUUGAAAACGAUCUUGAUUCACGAAACAAUCAUGUAUCAAUGCAGAUUCGCAAAUAACUCAAAUCGAGAUGCAUGAGCGAAUACAACCUCACGGGAACGAUUGUGAAAACACUGCGUACCCGACAAGUUUUUUUUUCUAAUCUCUAAAACAAUUUCUUAUCUCAAAACGUGUAGCAUUGCUAACAACUUAGAAGCGAUCUUAAAUCGCUCUCAACUGCCGACCAUAAUUCGAGCGAUUCGCAAGGAACUCAAUUCGGAAAAAAAACAGCGUGGUUUGUUGUCGGGUUUCUAGGCUUUUGAGAAUCUUUCCUGUGAGUUAACUCGCAAUUUUAUGUAGAAAAUAUGAAUCAUAAUCACUUCAAGUUUUCAGGCUGUCGGGUAGGUAUCGUUUUGACAAUCGCUCGCGUGAGGUUCCUUUGUGCGUAAUUAUAACAAGUGUCUACUCGAAUUUCUUGUUUGUGUGCCCACUUUGUGAAUCGCUCUAACUAACAACCGCUUCGUGCAUCAGAACCGCCUUUAAUUUCUGAGCAAUGCUACAUGGUUUUGGUUUGAUAACUAUGAUUCAUAUGGCUAUUUUUUUACAAAAUUAUAAAAGUUGCCGGGUAUCUAGUAUUUUACAAAAUUAUAAAAGUUGCCGGGUAUCUAGUAUUUGGGCAUGCGUUCCAGGCUCUCGGGUAUGUAGACAAGUUCGUUGUGUAUUGCUUGAUGUCACAGAACUCUCACGAUGAUGAGAGAACUCUAAACUUAAGUAGUAAUGAUUGUUAUCAGAUCUUUACGGUUUAAAUAAGGCUUACUAGUAAGGUUUACUAGUUUGGCGAAAUAGUUUAAUUAAGGUAUCGAUGAUAUUUGGUAUCUUGCGUUAGAGAAUAGAUUAUAAUCGCCAAAUUCACAAAUCUUUGUACGGAAACUAGAAGGCAACCUUAGAAAAGUAUAAGAAUAGACUUGGAAAUCAUACAUACCUAUCGGUUCUUGCAGUAUCUUGAGGUCUGACUCUAAAUCGAACCGUGGCAGUGAAACGGUCUAAUUGGUAGUGAAUAAGUGUCCCCAAAAACUAUACCUUCGGCGGUGUAGCGGUUAGAAUCUCGCUAGCUGAUUGGUCAGAAAUGUUAAUAUUAUUGAGUCACGUGUUGAAAUGACAAAGGCUAAAAAUAUAACGUAUAUAGCUUUCACAAAUGAAAAAUAUGCAUACAUUCAAACCCCUGUGGCAAAGUUCGAGGAUAUAUUGG